This 220-nucleotide ribosomal RNA is filed under the name uncultured Staphylococcus sp. RNAcentral describes it as "partial 16S ribosomal RNA". It matches the Rfam family "Bacterial small subunit ribosomal RNA", at positions 120 to 334 of the family's 1533-position model. The record is from RNAcentral. Lineage: Bacteria; Bacillati; Bacillota; Bacilli; Caryophanales; Staphylococcaceae.
GGUAACCUACCUAUAAGACUGGGAUAACUUCGGGAAACCGGAGCUAAUACCGGAUAAUAUUUCGAACCGCAUGGUUCGAUAGUGAAAGAUGGCUUUGCUAUCACUUAUAGAUGGACCUGCGCCGUAUUAGCUAGUUGGUAAGGUAACGGCUUACCAAGGCAACGAUACGUAGCCGACCUGAGAGGGUGAUCGGCCACACUGGAACUGAGACACGGUCCAG